AUAAUGAUACUCCCGUACAGCCACAGACAUCGCAAUGGGUACGGCUUGGAGAGAUCCUCGGAGGGGUGGAAUUCCCGUG
Molecule: non-coding RNA, 79 nt
Filed under: uncultured Blautia sp.
Lineage: Bacteria; Bacillati; Bacillota; Clostridia; Lachnospirales; Lachnospiraceae
Description: pemK RNA
Rfam family: pemK RNA
Source: RNAcentral